GGUUAAGCGACUAAGCGUACACGGUGGAUGCCCUGGCAGUCAGAGGCGAUGAAGGACGUGCUAAUCUGCGAUAAGCGUCGGUAAGGUGAUAUGAACCGUUAUAACCGGCGAUUUCCGAAUGGGGAAACCCAGUGUGUUUCGACACACUAUCAUUAACUGAAUCCAUAGGUUAAUGAGGGCGAACCGGGGGAACUGAAACAUCUAAGUACCCCGAGGAAAAGAAAUCAACCGAGAUUCCCCCAGUAGCGGCGAGCGAACGGGGAGGAGCCCAGAGCCUGAAUCAGUGUGUGUGUUAGUGGAAGCGUCUGGAAAGGCGCGCGAUACAGGGUGACAGCCCCGUACACAAAAAUGCACAUAUUGUGAGCUCGAUGAGUAGGGCGGGACACGUGGUAUCCUGUCUGAAUAUGGGGGGCCCAUCCUCCAAGGCUAAAUACUCCUGACUGACCGAUAGUGAACCAGUACCGUGAGGGAAAGGCGAAAAGAACCCCGGCGAGGGGAGUGAAAAAGAACCUGAAACCGUGUACGUACAAGCAGUGGGAGCACGCUUAGGCGUGUGACUGCGUACCUUUGUAUAAUGGGUCAGCGACUUAUAUUCUGUAGCAAGGUUAACCGAAUAGGGGAGCCGAAGGGAAACCGAGUCUUAACUGGGCGUUAAGUUGCAGGGUAUAGACCCGAAACCCGGUGAUCUAGCCAUGGGCAGGUUGAAGGUUGGGUAACACUAACUGGAGGACCGAACCGACUAAUGUUGAAAAAUUAGCGGAUGACUUGUGGCUGGGGGUGAAAGGCCAAUCAAACCGGGAGAUAGCUGGUUCUCCCCGAAAGCUAUUUAGGUAGCGCCUCGUGAAUUCAUCUCCGGGGGUAGAGCACUGUUUCGGCAAGGGGUCAUCCCGACUUACCAACCCGAUGCAAACUGCGAAUACCGGAGAAUGUUAUCACGGGAGACACACGGCGGGUGCUAACGUCCGUCGUGAAGAGGGAAACAACCCAGACCGCCAGCUAAGGUCCCAAAGUCAUGGUUAAGUGGGAAACGAUGUGGGAAGGCCCAGACAGCCAGGAUGUUGGCUUAGAAGCAGCCAUCAUUUAAAGAAAGCGUAAUAGCUCACUGGUCGAGUCGGCCUGCGCGGAAGAUGUAACGGGGCUAAACCAUGCACCGAAGCUGCGGCAGCGACGCUUAUGCGUUGUUGGGUAGGGGAGCGUUCUGUAAGCCUGCGAAGGUGUGCUGUGAGGCAUGCUGGAGGUAUCAGAAGUGCGAAUGCUGACAUAAGUAACGAUAAAGCGGGUGAAAAGCCCGCUCGCCGGAAGACCAAGGGUUCCUGUCCAACGUUAAUCGGGGCAGGGUGAGUCGACCCCUAAGGCGAGGCCGAAAGGCGUAGUCGAUGGGAAACAGGUUAAUAUUCCUGUACUUGGUGUUACUGCGAAGGGGGGGACGGAGAAGGCUAUGUUGGCCGGGCGACGGUUGUCCCGGUUUAAGCGUGUAGGCUGGUUUUCCAGGCAAAUCCGGAAAAUCAAGGCUGAGGCGUGAUGACGAGGCACUACGGUGCUGAAGCAACAAAUGCCCUGCUUCCAGGAAAAGCCUCUAAGCAUCAGGUAACAUCAAAUCGUACCCCAAACCGACACAGGUGGUCAGGUAGAGAAUACCAAGGCGCUUGAGAGAACUCGGGUGAAGGAACUAGGCAAAAUGGUGCCGUAACUUCGGGAGAAGGCACGCUGAUAUGUAGGUGAAGUCCCUUGCGGAUGGAGCUGAAAUCAGUCGAAGAUACCAGCUGGCUGCAACUGUUUAUUAAAAACACAGCACUGUGCAAACACGAAAGUGGACGUAUACGGUGUGACGCCUGCCCGGUGCCGGAAGGUUAAUUGAUGGGGUCAGCGCAAGCGAAGCUCUUGAUCGAAGCCCCGGUAAACGGCGGCCGUAACUAUAACGGUCCUAAGGUAGCGAAAUUCCUUGUCGGGUAAGUUCCGACCUGCACGAAUGGCGUAAUGAUGGCCAGGCUGUCUCCACCCGAGACUCAGUGAAAUUGAACUCGCUGUGAAGAUGCAGUGUACCCGCGGCAAGACGGAAAGACCCCGUGAACCUUUACUAUAGCUUGACACUGAACAUUGAGCCUUGAUGUGUAGGAUAGGUGGGAGGCUUUGAAGUGUGGACGCCAGUCUGCAUGGAGCCGGCCUUGAAAUACCACCCUUUAAUGUUUGAUGUUCUAACGUGGACCCGUGAUCCGGGUUGCGGACAGUGUCUGGUGGGUAGUUUGACUGGGGCGGUCUCCUCCUAAAGAGUAACGGAGGAGCACGAAGGUUGGCUAAUCCUGGUCGGACAUCAGGAGGUUAGUGCAAUGGCAUAAGCCAGCUUGACUGCGAGCGUGACGGCGCGAGCAGGUGCGAAAGCAGGUCAUAGUGAUCCGGUGGUUCUGAAUGGAAGGGCCAUCGCUCAACGGAUAAAAGGUACUCCGGGGAUAACAGGCUGAUACCGCCCAAGAGUUCAUAUCGACGGCGGUGUUUGGCACCUCGAUGUCGGCUCAUCACAUCCUGGGGCUGAAGUAGGUCCCAAGGGUAUGGCUGUUCGCCAUUUAAAGUGGUACGCGAGCUGGGUUUAGAACGUCGUGAGACAGUUCGGUCCCUAUCUGCCGUGGGCGCUGGAGAACUGAGGGGGGCUGCUCCUAGUACGAGAGGACCGGAGUGGACGCAUCACUGGUGUUCGGGUUGUCAUGCCAAUGGCACUGCCCGGUAGCUAAAUGCGGAAGAGAUAAGUGCUGAAAGCAUCUAAGCACGAAACUUGCCCCGAGAUGAGUUCUCCCUGACCCUUUAAGGGUCCUGAAGGAACGUUGAAGACGACGACGUUGAUAGGCCGGGUGUGUAAGCGCAGCGAUGCGUUGAGCUAACCGGUACUAAUGAACCGUGAGGCUUAACCUU
RNAcentral lists this ribosomal RNA (2904 nucleotides) under Shigella sonnei. Its description in RNAcentral is "23S ribosomal RNA". It matches the Rfam family "Bacterial large subunit ribosomal RNA". The record is from RNAcentral. Lineage: Bacteria; Pseudomonadati; Pseudomonadota; Gammaproteobacteria; Enterobacterales; Enterobacteriaceae.